GAUGAACGCUGGCGGCGUGCCUAAUACAUGCAAGUCGAGCGAACGGACGAGAAGCUUGCUUCUCUGAUGUUAGCGGCGGACGGGUGAGUAACACGUGGAUAACCUACCUAUAAGACUGGGAUAACUUCGGGAAACCGGAGCUAAUACCGGAUAAUAUUUUGAACCGCAUGGUUCAAAAGUGAAAGACGGUCUUGCUGUCACUUAUAGAUGGAUCCGCGCUGCAUUAGCUAGUUGGUAAGGUAACGGCUUACCAAGGCAACGAUGCAUAGCCGACCUGAGAGGGUGAUCGGCCACACUGGAACUGAGACACGGUCCAGACUCCUACGGGAGGCAGCAGUAGGGAAUCUUCCGCAAUGGGCGAAAGCCUGACGGAGCAACGCCGCGUGAGUGAUGAAGGUCUUCGGAUCGUAAAACUCUGUUAUUAGGGAAGAACAUAUGUGUAAGUAACUGUGCACAUCUUGACGGUACCUAAUCAGAAAGCCACGGCUAACUACGUGCCAGCAGCCGCGGUAAUACGUAGGUGGCAAGCGUUAUCCGGAAUUAUUGGGCGUAAAGCGCGCGUAGGCGGUUUUUUAAGUCUGAUGUGAAAGCCCACGGCUCAACCGUGGAGGGUCAUUGGAAACUGGAAAACUUGAGUGCAGAAGAGGAAAGUGGAAUUCCAUGUGUAGCGGUGAAAUGCGCAGAGAUGUGGAGGAACACCAGUGGCGAAGGCGACUUUCUGGUCUGUAACUGACGCUGAUGUGCGAAAGCGUGGGGAUCAAACAGGAUUAGAUACCCUGGUAGUCCACGCCGUAAACGAUGAGUGCUAAGUGUUAGGGGGUUUCCGCCCCUUAGUGCUGCAGCUAACGCAUUAAGCACUCCGCCUGGGGAGUACGACCGCAAGGUUGAAACUCAAAGGAAUUGACGGGGGCCCGCACAAGCGGUGGAGCAUGUGGUUUAAUUCGAAGCAACGCGAAGAACCUUACCAAAUCUUGACAUCCUUUGACAACUCUAGAGAUAGAGCCUUCCCCUUCGGGGGACAAAGUGACAGGUGGUGCAUGGUUGUCGUCAGCUCGUGUCGUGAGAUGUUGGGUUAAGUCCCGCAACGAGCGCAACCCUUAAGCUUAGUUGCCAUCAUUAAGUUGGGCACUCUAAGUUGACUGCCGGUGACAAACCGGAGGAAGGUGGGGAUGACGUCAAAUCAUCAUGCCCCUUAUGAUUUGGGCUACACACGUGCUACAAUGGACAAUACAAAGGGCAGCGAAACCGCGAGGUCAAGCAAAUCCCAUAAAGUUGUUCUCAGUUCGGAUUGUAGUCUGCAACUCGACUACAUGAAGCUGGAAUCGCUAGUAAUCGUAGAUCAGCAUGCUACGGUGAAUACGUUCCCGGGUCU
This 1372-nucleotide ribosomal RNA is filed under the name uncultured bacterium. RNAcentral describes it as "bacterial SSU rRNA". It matches the Rfam family "Bacterial small subunit ribosomal RNA", at positions 28 to 1381 of the family's 1533-position model. The record is from RNAcentral.